GACGGACGCUGGCGGCGUGGAUUAGGCAUGCAAGUCGAACGGUAUCAUCCUUUCGGGGGUGAGAGAGUGGCGAACUGGUGAGUAACACGUAGGUUAUCUACCCUCAAGACGGGGACAACCCAGGGAAACUUGGGCUAAUACCGGAUGUGAGCAACUUUUAGUUGUUUGAAAGGUGGCGUAAGCUGUCGCUUGGGGAUGAGCCUGCGUCCUAUUAGUUAGUUGGUGAGGUAACGGCUCACCUAGGCAAUGAUAGGUGGGCGGCCUUAACGGGUGGUCGCCCACACUGGGAUUGAGAUACGGCCCAGACUCCUACGGGAGGCAGCAGUCGAGAAUAGUCUACAAUGGUCGGAAGACUGAUAGUGCGACGCCGCGUGAACGAUGAAUCCCUUCGGGGUGUAAAGUUCUUUUAUAUGUGAGCAGUGCUUCUUAUAUUAACAGUAUGGGGAGAGAGAUAUUAGCAUAUGAAUAAGCAACGGCUAACUCCGUGCCAGCAGCCGCGGU
RNAcentral lists this ribosomal RNA (501 nucleotides) under uncultured bacterium. RNAcentral describes it as "bacterial SSU rRNA". It matches the Rfam family "Bacterial small subunit ribosomal RNA", at positions 28 to 521 of the family's 1533-position model. The record is from RNAcentral.